CCCGGCGAUCAUGACGGAGGGGCAACACCCGUUCCCAUUCCGAACACGGAAGUUAAGCCCUCAGGUGCCGAUGGUACUGCUCGGGCAGCUGAGUGGGAGAGUAGGAAAUUGCCGGGU
RNAcentral lists this ribosomal RNA (117 nucleotides) under Candidatus Aminicenantes bacterium RBG_13_59_9. The record is from RNAcentral. Lineage: Bacteria; Candidatus Aminicenantota.